GGGGGUUCGCGGGUCUAAAUCAUUUAUAUAGGAUUUCUCUAUAUUUUUCUAUAAAUGAACUUUAUCUUAUGGUUACUAGAAAAAUAAAAUAAAAAAGUGGGUCACCGUUCAUUUGCGCUCACAAUCUGCCUUCGAAAGAAGCAUACAUUUUUGUAAAGGUGUUUUUUUUUUUCUGUUGAAGUAAUAGGAGAAAUAAAGGUA
This 201-nucleotide long non-coding RNA is filed under the name Mytilus galloprovincialis (Mediterranean mussel). Lineage: Eukaryota; Metazoa; Mollusca; Bivalvia; Mytilida; Mytilidae. The record is from RNAcentral.